GCACCGGAAAAGCACCACAACGCGCCCUCCGAAGGCAGAGGUCACAGGUUCGAAUCCUGUCGGGUGCGCCA
Molecule: transfer RNA, 71 nt
Filed under: Stappia sp. 22II-S9-Z10
Lineage: Bacteria; Pseudomonadati; Pseudomonadota; Alphaproteobacteria; Hyphomicrobiales; Stappiaceae
Description: tRNA-Arg
Source: RNAcentral